Molecule: ribosomal RNA, 439 nt
Filed under: uncultured bacterium
Lineage: Bacteria
Description: partial 16S ribosomal RNA
Rfam family: Bacterial small subunit ribosomal RNA
Source: RNAcentral
CUACGGGGGGCUGCAGUGAGGAAUAUUGCACAAUGGAGGAAACUCUGAUGCAGCAACGCCGCGUGGAGGAUGACGCAUUUCGGUGUGUAAACUCCUUUUAUAUGUCAAGAAAAUGACGGUAGCAUAUGAAUAAGCUCCGGCUAACUCCGUGCCAGCAGCCGCGGUAAUACGGAGGGAGCAAGCGUUACUCGGAAUCACUGGGCGUAAAGGACGCGUAGGCGGGUUGGAAAGUCAGGUGUGAAAUCCUACAGCUUAACUGUAGAACUGCACUGGAAACUUCUAAUCUAGAGUAUGGGAGGGGGAGAUGGAAUUAGUGGUGUAGGGGUAAAAUCCGUAGAUAUCACUAGGAAUACCUAAAGCGAAGGCGAUCUCCUGGAACAUUACUGACGCUAAGGCGUGAAAGCGUGGGGAGCAAACAGGAUUAGAUACCCCCGUAGUC